UGGGGAAUCUUAGACAAUGGGGGCAAGCCUGAUCUAGCCAUGCCGGGUGWGUGAUGAAGGCCUUAGGGUSGUAAAGCUCUUUCGCCAGAGAUGAUAAUGACAGUAUCUGGUAAAGAAACCCGGCUAACUCCGUGCCAGCAGCCGCGGUAAUACGGAGGGGGUUAGCGUUGUUCKGAAUUACUGGGCGUAAAGCGCACGUAGGCGGAUUAGUAAGUUGAGGUGAAAUCCCAGGGCUCAACCCUGGAACUGCCUUUAAUACUGUUAGUCUUGAGUUYGAGAGAGGUGAGUGGAAUUCCAAGUGUAGAGGUGAAAUUGGUAGAUAUUUGGAGGAACACCAGUGGCGAAGGCGGCUCACUGGCUCGAUACUGACGCUGAGGUGMGAAAGUGUGGGGAGCAAACAGGAUUAGAUACCCUGGUAGUCCACACCGUAAACGAUGAAUGCCAGUCGUCGGGCAGUAUACUUUCGGUGACACACCUAACGGAUA
This 485-nucleotide ribosomal RNA is filed under the name uncultured Paracoccaceae bacterium. RNAcentral's name for it is "bacterial SSU rRNA". The record is from RNAcentral. Lineage: Bacteria; Pseudomonadati; Pseudomonadota; Alphaproteobacteria; Rhodobacterales; Paracoccaceae.